CUACGGGGUGCAGCAGUGGGGAAUAUUGCACAAUGGGCGCAAGCCUGAUGCAGCAACGCCGCGUGAACGAAGAAGGUUUUCGGAUCGUAAAGUUCUUUUCUUGGGGAAGAAACCAUGACGGUACCCAAGGAAUAAGCACCGGCUAACUACGUGCCAGCAGCCGCGGUAAUACGUAGGGUGCAAGCGUUAUCCGGAAUCACUGGGCGUAAAGGGUGCGUAGGCGGUUUUACAAGUCAGAAGUGAAAGGCAAUGGCUCAACCAUUGUAAGCUUUUGAAACUGUAAGACUUGAAUGCAGGAGAGGUAAGUGGAAUUCCUAGUGUAGCGGUGAAAUGCGUAGAUAUUAGGAGGAACACCAGUGGCGAAGGCGACUUACUGGACUGUUAUUGACGCUGAGGCACGAAAGCGUGGGGAGCGAACAGGAUUAGAUACCCUCGUAGUC
This 440-nucleotide ribosomal RNA is filed under the name uncultured bacterium. RNAcentral's name for it is "partial 16S ribosomal RNA". It matches the Rfam family "Bacterial small subunit ribosomal RNA", at positions 339 to 795 of the family's 1533-position model. The record is from RNAcentral.